This is a long non-coding RNA of Syzygium oleosum, 708 nucleotides long. RefSeq lists it as uncharacterized. The record is from RefSeq and is a predicted model, not a curated record. NCBI's taxonomy places the organism in Eukaryota, Viridiplantae, Streptophyta, Magnoliopsida, Myrtales, Myrtaceae. The transcript has 2 exons.
UGUAUAGUUUUUGACCACCUCACUCUCUCUAUCACAAUUUUUCUCUCUCUGUAAAACUCUCUCCUUUUUUCUUUUCACACACACCAAAACUGUCAAAACACACGCGCACGCCCCCUCCGAAUCCCCAUAGUGGCUUCUUCCCUCUCUGUCUGUCUCUCUCCCUCUCUCUAGACGUGUGUGCAUGUUCCUCAUGACCAUCGAUUGAAACCCUAGUUCGCCGUCUAGUCCUCCGCAGCUUCACUCUUCUUGGGUAAGGAAUCAACCCAAAAGCCUUGGCGUGGGAUCUUCCAGUGUGGGAUUCAUGUCCUUCAAUCGACCCAGGUAUCAAAAGAGCGAGGCGGCACAAGAUUGUAGAAUCGGGAGAUCCACCAACAGCGGACCUCCUUGAGCGGUUACAGUAAGGGCGGCGGUGCCCCCUUCCCUUCCCCUUCUCUCUCCUCCAUGGACUAGCAAAAUGACCAGUUCCAUGGACCCACUCGAAAACUGGACUAGACCGGUGGUCUAGUUCCCAAGUGGAUUUAUGAAACACCAUUGGGCAAUUCCCGGUUCCCAUUUUUUGGAACCGGUCUUUAACGGGCGAUUCUAGAUUUCAAGUUUCAGAGUGGGAACUGUCCACCCAUGAACCGAUCACUCUUACUAAUGACUCUAAUUUAUUAUGUCUUAUGUAAAGUUACUAACCCAAAUUGGAGUGACUUACCAACUUUUGUC